This 468-nucleotide ribosomal RNA is filed under the name uncultured bacterium. RNAcentral's name for it is "partial 16S ribosomal RNA". It matches the Rfam family "Bacterial small subunit ribosomal RNA", at positions 28 to 507 of the family's 1533-position model. The record is from RNAcentral.
GACGAACGCUGGCGGCGUGCUUAACACAUGCAAGUCGAACGGAAAGGCCCUGCUUUUGUGGUGUGCUCGAGUGGCGAACGGGUGAGUAACACGUGAGUAACCUGCCCUUGACUUUGGGAUAACUUCAGGAAACUGGGGCUAAUACCGGAUAGGAGCUCCUGCUGCAUGGUGGGGGUUGGAAAGUUUCGGCGGUUGGGGAUGGACUCGCGGCUUAUCAGCUUGUUGGUGGGGUAGUGGCUUACCAAGGCUUUGACGGGUAGCCGGCCUGAGAGGGUGACCGGCAACAUUGGGACUGAGAUACGGCCAAGACUCCUACGGGAGGAAGAAGUGGGGAAUAUUGCAAAAUGGGCGGAAGCCUGAUGCAGCAACGCCGCGUGCGGGAUGACGGCCUUCGGGUUGUAAACCGCUUUCGCCUGUGACGAAGCGUGAGUGACGGUAAUGGGUAAAGAAGCACCGGCUAACUACGUG